UUUCAGAAGCGCGCAACAAAAAAGUGUUCAGGGAUGUUAUGAUUUUAUCGCUUGUUCUCAGCGUUUGAGAAUUAUUCGAGUAGUUACCGUCGAUAGCAAAUAAUUACUUUUGUCAUCCAAUAGUCGUAUGACUAUUAUUCUUCGCAUAGUGCGUUGAAAGACGAGAGGCUAUGGGUUCCAUUUACAUCGGUGAUUUCCCGGAUGAAAUCCUCCUACACAUCUUCUCGUACCUGUCCCGAGAGGAGCUGGCCGCAGGGCCGAGCCACGUGAACCGGCGAUGGCAGGCUGUGUGUAAUGAUGACACACUCUGGCGCGACAGUGACUACGUCGUCGGUGAAAACCAGACUGAUGAAGAGGCCCUGUCGCUGGUGAUGAGCAUGCCACAGCUGCGAGUGCUCAGGCUGCAGCGCAUGCUACCAUCUGGCAUGCUGCAGCACGUGUUCCGCACGUGCCACAGCCUCACCGAGCUCGAGAUACACUGGAGACACAAGCUGUUGCCCUCUGAGCUCAGCUGCCUGGUCGAGAACUGCCCCAACAUAGAGAGGCUUGUAGUGCCUGGCCAGCGAACAACGGUCGAGCAUCUGGAGCUCAUUAGCAAGAUGGAAAACCUGAAGUCACUGCGAUUUGAGUAUCGGACAUUGACGUAUCAGCCUUUCAGGCUGCAACAGCUAGCUGAUGGCUGCCCCAAACUUCGAUGUCUGGAGAUUCCUCUCCAGUUCUGUGCUGGUGAUGAACUGGACAACUUUCUUGCUGUUAAGGCUGGACAGAUAGAAGCACUGGAGCUCCGAUGGAUGACGUCAGAUAGGAGAUGUGUGUUGCCAAUGGUGGCAACUCUGUGUGGUGCAAGUUUGAAACGCCUGACCUUGGGAUGGUAUGACGUGCCUAUCGACAGGAUUGCCAGUGCCCUGUUCUCGUUGCGUGACCUCGUAAACCUGCAGGAGUUGGCGGCACCGUACGCAUAUGGGCUGCCACCCGGUAUACUGGCACAGGUAUUCAGUGGGGCAGCAAUCUGUAGACUGAAGAAGCUGGACUUGCGCAGCAGUGGCCUAGCCGUAGACGACGACGCACUGUUGGCAAUCUGUCGGUCUUGCUUGGAGCUGUGCGAGCUUCUGCUUGGUGGCUGCAGGCAAAUCUCAGAUGCAGGGCUCCAGUUGCUGGGCAGUGGGCUGGAGACACUGGACCUGUCCAACUGCUGCUCGCUGGGUGGAGGCGCUAUCACGGCCAUUGCCAGGUGCUGCCCAGGGCUGCGAAACCUCCAGCUCCAGUGCCAGGACAUGUCCAGAUUACGUCCUGGAUUGCGCCACCUAUUAGGACUUAAAAAGUUAGAGACGCUGGACUUGACUUCCAGCAUUGUGUCCGUCUUGCCACUGGGACUGUUCCCGAAACACCUCCACAAUCUGAGGAUGCUCAAACUCUCCUUCUGUGAGGGAAUUGGCGUAGGCGGCUUACAGGUGUUGCGUACUCUGAUGCCCCAGCUAAAGAUCGUCAUAGGUGACCUUGUUGGGCCAGAGGAUCGUUGAAACUACAAAAGUGCAUAUGCUGACACUGUACCAAGAAUUAUGAAUCCAGUAAACAGGCAACUUGAUAACAUUGAUAUUCAAGGUCAUGCACUUGUAUUCAAGUAAGGAACAGAAACUGCUGGCUGCUUGCAAGUGCACUUGAUCAUAACAGGACUCUGUGGGAAAAGGUUACCAGCAGAGAGUUCUGAAGAAAAAGUUUGUGGAAUUUUCUUGUAGUAGUCAAUUAUACACGGGUCUUCCAUAAUUAUUUUGUAUGUGUUAUGCAGCUUUUGACAAGGAACUUUCAUAUUUUUAAUAUUGUUACCAUUUUUAUAGUGUUUUCAUCAUUGUUGGCAUUUCCCUUGUUAUUGAAAGUAUUGUUGUGAACUUACCUAAUAACACUUAAUGGAAAUGAUCAGAGCAAGAAGACUGUUCAGUCAGCAAUUUUGUUACUUUUUGUAGAGAAAUAAAUGGGAA
This 1976-nucleotide unclassified non-coding RNA is filed under the name Schistocerca americana (American grasshopper). RNAcentral's name for it is "f-box/LRR-repeat protein 20-like, transcript variant X1". The record is from RNAcentral. Lineage: Eukaryota; Metazoa; Arthropoda; Insecta; Orthoptera; Acrididae.